UUUCCCCGAUUUCCCCGAUUUCCCCGAAUUGACCGAUUCCGCCGAUUUUUUGUUCGUCAUCUUAUCCGAUUUUCUAGAGCUUCUCAAAGUGUCUGCAUCAGGAUUCACGGAUUCGGAUGGUUUAUUAGCCGAUUGACGGGAGGAUCGUUUUGACAGACGAGAUGGAUCAGGUCCAGCUGCUUGGCUUGGGACUUGUGGAGCUGGUUCAGGCACAUUGAGUGGCGGCGGCGGCGGCGGCUCUGGUCCAUCUUUCUUCUCCAUUUUUGCCUGUUUCGAUAUUUUAGGAUCUUCUUCGACGACGAUCAUUGUCAAAUGGGUACACUCUUUUUCUUCUGGAAAAAUGAAAAAUACAUCAUUUUGAAGUUUCGACGUGCUGUCAGCCUGUCUCAUUUCUGCUUGAUCUACGUAGAUCUACAAAAAAUGCGGGUGUUGAGACGCAGAGUUCUCAACUGAUUUCGAGUGGUUAAAAACGCGCUGACGUCACAUUUUUUGGGCAAUAGAAUACCAUGCUUUUUGUAGAUCAAACCGUGAUGGGCCAGCCCCUGGCACCACGUGUAAACGGCUUUAAUUACUAACUGUCAGCAAGGAUUCCUAAACUAGCAUUUUGCACAACAACAAAAAAUGGGAAAAUUUGGCUCAAAAUUCUCAAAAACCAGCAAAAAUUGACAGUAAGUAACUAAUUUUAAAAUUCGCGCGCAAACUAAUUUACGCGGGAAUUCAAAAAUUUUUUGUGUUGUGCACAAAAACAGGGUUAUUAUUUUAUUAUACUUUCUGUAUUAUACGAUUUUCCGGCAAAUCGGCAAACCGGCCAAUUGGCAAUUUGUCGAAUUUGCCGGAAAAAAAACAGAUGCCAAAACUUUUCGGCAAAUUGUGGUUUUGCCCAAUUUUUUGAAAUUUCAGAAUUUCAAUUUCAAUAUGCGAAAUUGUACGCAUCUUAUGAAUGUUAAUAUCUAGAAUAAACCAAAAGAAAUUUCAGAAAUGCACAGUUUUUAUUGGUUUCGUCUUAUCAAAACCGUCACUAAAAACUUCCGCCAAAUUGAUGUUCGGCAAAUUGGCAAAUCGGCAAGAUUUGCCAAACGGUCAUUGCAACUCACUUUUAAUGUACAUUAACGAAACGAUGAACCAAAUCAGACAGCUCACAAAACAAAUACCCGAUCCAUAAACCAACAUCCAUAUGAACCACUGCAAAAAAAAUCUGACAUUUUUCUGAAAAUUUCCCCAUUACUCACCGAUGGUAGAUUGUCUUGAGAAUGGUCACGAAUCGGUAUGUUGUGUCCGAAAAAUUCCACGUAUUCGAUGACAUUGUUGGAGCUAUUGAGCAAAACGGUAGAGUUGACCAUUUUUCAAAAACUUUCAAAAAAUAAAAUGGCGGAAAUGAUUGGAUUUUCGUGGAUUUUAUUUGUUCCGUUUGCUGUUUUUUAAUUUAUUGAAUUAAAUUGAAUUAAAUUAAACGUGAAUUAAAUAGUUUUUAUCUAAAAUUCGGGAACUUUUUCUCAUUUCCGAAAAUAAUUUCACCGAAGAAUGUCCAACUCAACCAUCACAAAAACCGUGCUAAGUGGAAUUGAUACCAACGUCCAGCGGUAUCCAUCUUAUCAUUAUCCAGAGUGGUUCAUAUAUCCCAUAUUUCUAGCAAGUGCUAUCUGCUGUUGUAGCUGCAUGGUUUGGUCCAUCGCGUCUUUUAUGUACUUUAGAAAAGACCAACAAUGCACAGUUAUUGUAGUGAUUGACGAGAAACCAGAAAAAUCAUCUAAAUCUAAGAAAAAGCCUCCGAAAACGCCUAAGGAAAUGGAAAACGGACCGUCAGUGGCCAAAAAGUCUUUGGAAACUUCUAAGAAGUCUGAAAAAUCUGGAAAUUCUUCGAAAAUGAGCGCUAAAGCUUAACUUUUGGUAGUUUUUAAGUCGAUAUGCUACUUUUUGUAAUGGAUUUUAAACUGAAUUAAACUGAAAAAGAAAAAUAUUUGAAUAAAACUUUCUUACUUUUU
Non-coding RNA from Caenorhabditis elegans, 1982 nucleotides. Ensembl annotates it as ncRNA. Its record names the gene anr-47. NCBI's taxonomy places the organism in Eukaryota, Metazoa, Nematoda, Chromadorea, Rhabditida, Rhabditidae. The record is from Ensembl.